RNAcentral lists this non-coding RNA (22 nucleotides) under Rattus norvegicus (Norway rat). Lineage: Eukaryota; Metazoa; Chordata; Mammalia; Rodentia; Muridae. The record is from RNAcentral.
CAACGUUGUAAUGCCGUCGGAU